This 540-nucleotide ribosomal RNA is filed under the name uncultured cyanobacterium. RNAcentral describes it as "bacterial SSU rRNA". It matches the Rfam family "Bacterial small subunit ribosomal RNA", at positions 114 to 690 of the family's 1533-position model. Lineage: Bacteria; Bacillati; Cyanobacteriota. The record is from RNAcentral.
CGCGUAAGAAUCUACCUAUAGGUUCGGUACAACAGUUAGAAAUGACUGCUAAUACCGGAUGUGCCUUCGGGUGACAGUCUUAAUGCCUGUAGAUGAGCUUGCGUUCGAUUAGCUAGAUGGUGGGGUAACGGCCUACCAUGGCGACGAUCGAUAACUGGUCUGAUAGGAUGACCAGUCACACUGGGACUGAGACACGGUCCAGACUCCUACGGGAGGCAGCAGUGGGGAAUUUUCCGCAAUGGGCGAAAGCCUGACAGAGCAAUACCGCGUGAGGGACGAAGGUCUGUGGAUUGUAAACCUCUUUUGUUGGGGAAGAUAAUGACGGUACCCAACGAAUAAGCAUCGGCUAACUCCGUGCCAGCAGCCGCGGUAAGACGGAGGAUGCAAGCGUUAUCCGGAAUUAUUGGGCGUAAAGCGUACGUAGGCUGUUUCAUAAGUCUGUUGUCAAAGCGCGAGGCUCAACCUCGUAAAGGCAAUGGAAACUGCGAGACUAGAGAGAGAUAGGGGCAGGAGGAAUUCCAGGUGUAGCGGUGAAAUGCG